GACGAACGCUGGCGGCGUGCCUAAUACAUGCAAGUUGAGCGCUGAAGGUUGGUACUUGUACCAACUGGAUGAGCAGCGGACGGGUGAGUAACGCGUGGGGAAUCUGCCUUUGAGCGGGGGACAACAUUUGGAAACGAAUGCUAAUACCGCAUAAAAACUUUAAACACAAGUUUUAAGUUUGAAAGAUGCAAUUGCAUCACUCAAAGAUGAUCCCGCGUUGUAUUAGCUAGUUGGUGAGGUAAAGGCUCACCAAGGCGAUGAUACAUAGCCGACCUGAGAGGGUGAUCGGCCACAUUGGGACUGAGACACGGCCCAAACUCCUACGGGAGGCAGCAGUAGGGAAUCUUCGGCAAUGGACGAAAGUCUGACCGAGCAACGCCGCGUGAGUGAAGAAGGUUUUCGGAUCGUAAAACUCUGUUGGUAGAGAAGAACGUUUGUGAGAGUGGAAAGCUCAUCAAGUGACGGUAACUACCCAGAAAGGGACGGCUAACUACGUG
RNAcentral lists this ribosomal RNA (497 nucleotides) under uncultured bacterium. Its description in RNAcentral is "partial 16S ribosomal RNA". It matches the Rfam family "Bacterial small subunit ribosomal RNA", at positions 28 to 507 of the family's 1533-position model. The record is from RNAcentral.